GACCAGCACAGGACCCCGACUCCUCAGCAUGGAUUCCUUUCUAUGAUGUGUGUCAGGGCAGAAUGAGAACAGCAUUUUACUUCUUAUUUUAUGUGUAUGUGUGCCUGCAUACAUGUAUGUAUAUGCAUCAUAUAUGUGCCUGGUGUCUAUGAAGAAUAGAAGCCAGUAUCAGAUUCGUGGAUGCAGUUACAGAUGUUGUAAGCAACCAUGUGGGUGUCGGGGUCAGAUCCCAGAUCUUUUCUAAGAGCAGCAAGUGCUCCUAACCACUGAGCCAUCUGUCCUGGACUGACUCUUAAACAUCAGCAUCCUUGAAGGUGCAGCCUGUGCUGACACUGAGGUCAGCCCUCUGGGACCAUAUGAAUUGAAAAAGAACCUACUCUGAGAGAGACUCCAUGGAGAAGAUCUACCCACUUUGUAAGGUAUCUUCUACAGUCUAUGGAAGAGGAGCCUCAUUUGGGGAAGCCUCAUUUACCUCAUUACAGAAAAUAUGCCCAUGAAAUCAAGUUAGAAUCACAGGAGAUGGGAAUCUGGACACGGAUAUGGCUCUCAUGCCUUCUUGAUUGUGAGCUUCUCGGUCAGAAAAUGUCUGUCAAUCAUUAUGGCUGUCACUCUCACAGCAAUAGACAAGAACUUAUAUGUAAAGAUGUCUUAGCCAAAAAACUGCUCAUAAACACUGGUCUCUCUCAAAAGUCACCCUGGGAAGCAAUCAGGCAGUGCCAACUCCCUUCCCACCCCAACACAAGCCCUUUGCCAUAGUAAGUAGUAAGAAUGUUCUCUCUGAAACUUAUAUCAAAACUUAAUCCACUCCCCCAACUUCCAUCCUCCAUACACAAAGGUCAGAGGAUGUUCAUAUUUGGAGGCUGUGUCUUUGGGAAGUAAUUGGGGUUAAAUUAGAUAUCAAGCUGGUGUUUCCCUGGUGGGGCUGGUGGCUUUAGAAGAAGCAAAGGAGAGACCUAAACAGAUGUCGUCCUUCCACACGUAUCCUCUGCAUGCUGUGCUGAGCAUGAAAGUCUCCCAAGUGCCAAGCAAAUGUCAGCACCAUGCCCUCAGAUUUCUCAGACACCUCAACUGU
This is a long non-coding RNA of Mus musculus (house mouse), 1072 nucleotides long. RefSeq annotates it as predicted gene, 53377. The transcript is spliced from 3 exons. The record is from RefSeq and is a predicted model, not a curated record. NCBI's taxonomy places the organism in Eukaryota, Metazoa, Chordata, Mammalia, Rodentia, Muridae.